RNAcentral lists this ribosomal RNA (1266 nucleotides) under Spirhapalum polesianum. RNAcentral describes it as "eukaryotic LSU rRNA". It matches the Rfam family "Eukaryotic large subunit ribosomal RNA", at positions 73 to 924 of the family's 3401-position model. Lineage: Eukaryota; Metazoa; Platyhelminthes; Trematoda; Strigeidida; Spirorchiidae. The record is from RNAcentral.
GAUUCCCCUAGUAACUGCGAGUGAAGAUGGAUGAGCCCAGCACCGAAGCCUGUGGUCAUUUGACUGCUAGGCAAUGUGGUGUUUAGGUUGGUUCUUGGCAUUACUGCUCUACUCCAAGUCCAGCAAUGAGUACGGCUUACUGGAUCGGCCCAUAGAGGGUGAAAGGCCCGUGGGAGUAGAGAUCAUGACGGUUUUGCCCUGGAUUGACCAUGGAGUCGGGUUGUUUGUGAAUGCAGCCCAAAGUGGGUGGUAAACUCCAUCUAAGGCUAAAUACUGGCACGAGUCCGAUAGUAAACAAGUACCGUGAGGGAAAGUUGAAAAGUACUUUGAAGAGAGAGUAAACAGUGCGUGAAACCGCUCAGAGGUAAACGGGUGGAGUUGAACUGCAAGCCUUGAGGAUUCAGCUGAUGAGUAUGAUAUGGGUUUGAACAUGUUGACUGGCUCUCAGAGUUCGCUUGGCGGCGAGUCCCUGUUCUUUCGAGUGGGGAUGCGUGAUGUACUUAUCAAGUACUGAGCGCUUUGAGGUGUCCGGGUCUGCUUGUCAGUGCACUUUCUCUUGGUGUUCACCACGACCGGCACUGCUGUCUGUCUGUUACGGUUAAACCGGUUAGGCUUAGUUAUUUGACUAGGCUUGAUCGGGAUGGCAGGUAGCUCAUUGAUUCUUGUCGGCCUCGGUUGGCUUGAGUUUUUGAGUGUAAUCAGCUGACUGUAGUGGAUCUGUGCAGUGUGUCGGAGCUGGCGGCUUUGGUAUGUGCAUGCGUGCUAUGGCCUUUUGGCGGAGCUAAGUCUGGUUGGCAAGUUACCUGUUUGGGCAGGUCGGUCAAUGUCUUGGUUUCGUUCAUUGGGUGGUGGCGUGUGUGAUACUAUCUUGGGCCAAUAGUCUGUGGUGUAGUGGUAAACGAUCCACCUGACCCGUCUUGAAACACGGACCAAGGAGUUUAACAUGUACGCGAGUCAUUGGGCGUUACGAAACCCAGAGGCGUAAUGAAGGUAAAGGCUCGACUUGUUUGAGCUGAGGUGAGAUCCUGCUGUUUCUUCUGCCUUGCACUAUCAAGCUUUCGAGCAGUAGGCGCAUCACCAGCCCGUCUCAUGAUGUAGCCACGUAGCCUUGUGUUAUGUGCACCGUCGGGGCGGAGCUAGAGCGUACACGUUGAGACCCGAAAGAUGGUGAACUAUGCUUGCGGAGGUUGAAGCCAGAGGAAACUCUGGUGGAGGACCGCAGCGAUUCUGACGUGCAAAUCGAUCGUCUAACGUGAGUAUAGGGGC